AGUGAACGCUGGCGGUAGGCCUAACACAUGCAAGUCGAACGGCAGCACAGUAAGAGCUUGCUCUUACGGGUGGCGAGUGGCGGACGGGUGAGGAAUACAUCGGAAUCUACUUUUUCGUGGGGGAUAACGUAGGGAAACUUACGCUAAUACCGCAUACGACCUACGGGUGAAAGCAGGGGAUCUUCGGACCUUGCGCGAUUGAAUGAGCCGAUGUCGGAUUAGCUAGUUGGCGGGGUAAAGGCCCACCAAGGCGACGAUCCGUAGCUGGUCUGAGAGGAUGAUCAGCCACACUGGAACUGAGACACGGUCCAGACUCCUACGGGAGGCAGCAGUGGGGAAUAUUGGACAAUGGGCGCAAGCCUGAUCCAGCCAUACCGCGUGGGUGAAGAAGGCCUUCGGGUUAUAAAGCCCUUUUGUUGGGAAAGAAAAGCAGCAGGUUAAUACCCCGCUGUUCUGACGGUACCCAAAGAAUAAACACCGGCUAACUUCGUG
This 492-nucleotide ribosomal RNA is filed under the name uncultured bacterium. Its description in RNAcentral is "partial 16S ribosomal RNA". It matches the Rfam family "Bacterial small subunit ribosomal RNA", at positions 29 to 507 of the family's 1533-position model. The record is from RNAcentral.